GCAUUGGUGGUUCAGUGGUAGAACUCUCGCCUGCCACGCGGGAGAUCCAGGUGCGACUCCCAGCCAAUGCA
This is a non-coding RNA of Danio rerio (zebrafish), 71 nucleotides long. The record is from Rfam. Lineage: Eukaryota; Metazoa; Chordata; Actinopteri; Cypriniformes; Danionidae.